RNAcentral lists this ribosomal RNA (468 nucleotides) under uncultured bacterium. Its description in RNAcentral is "partial 16S ribosomal RNA". It matches the Rfam family "Bacterial small subunit ribosomal RNA", at positions 28 to 507 of the family's 1533-position model. The record is from RNAcentral.
GACGAACGCUGGCGGCGUGCUUAACACAUGCAAGUCGAACGGAAAGGCCCUGCUUUUGUGGGGUGCUCGAGUGGCGAACGGGUGAGUAACACGUGAGUAACCUGCCCUUGACUUCGGGAUAACUUCAGGAAACUGGGGCUAAUACCGGAUAGGAGCUCCUGCUGCAUGGUGGGGGUUGGAAAAUUUCGGCGGUUGGGGAUGGACUCGCGGCUUAUCAGCUUGUUGGUGGGGUAGUGGCUUACCAAGGCUUUGACGGGUAGCCGGCCUGAGAGGGUGACCGGCCACAUUGGGACUGAGAUACGGCCCAGACUCCUACGGGAGGCAGCAGUGGGGAAUAUUGCACAAUGGGCGGAAGCCUGAUGCAGCAACGCCGCGUGCGGGAUGACGGCCUUCGGGUUGUAAACCGCUUUCGCCUGUGACGAAGCGUGAGUGACGGUAAUGGGUAAAGAAGCACCGGCUAACUACGUG